Non-coding RNA from Pelobates cultripes (western spadefoot toad), 111 nucleotides. NCBI's taxonomy places the organism in Eukaryota, Metazoa, Chordata, Amphibia, Anura, Pelobatidae. The record is from the annotation of a GenBank genome assembly.
GGGAGCAUCAUGGAGGGGCUGGGGAGGGGGGAGAGCACCUCAUGAUGGAGGGGGGAGCGUCAUGGAGGGGUGGGGGAGCACCCCCCUCCCCAGCCCCUCCAUGAUGCUCCC